This 65-nucleotide transfer RNA is filed under the name uncultured Mariniblastus sp. It matches the Rfam family "tRNA", at positions 5 to 66 of the family's 71-position model. From Rfam's summary of the family: Transfer RNA (tRNA) molecules are approximately 80 nucleotides in length. Their secondary structure includes four short double-helical elements and three loops (D, anti-codon, and T loops). Lineage: Bacteria; Pseudomonadati; Planctomycetota; Planctomycetia; Pirellulales; Pirellulaceae. The record is from RNAcentral.
CGAUAGCUCAGCUGGAUAGAGCAAUUGACUUCUAAUCAAUAGGUCGCAGGUUCGAAUCCUGCUCG